AACUAACCUUGACAACUACCAAUUAGGCAAAGUAUGGGUGUGUUCCGGCACACCUGAAACUUUGCUCACCUACGACCAAUCUGACAGCGAGGUUGAGACGAAAGUAUCAGGCGGCCGGAUGGCACAACCUGUGUUGAGGAUGAGAAGUUAUUAGAAUGGUGGCCUCUAGAAGGAACCUGGACUAGAAUAGAAGUCGUUCGUUGGGAUGCACGGAUGAAACAGAGCGCCAUGGGCACAAGAACACGACUGAAGGCGCGCGCGCCGUCGCUCAUACACUCACAUACACAUACACUGAGGGAGAAGGGGAGACACAUUCGACGACCGCUCAUAUUGAGGGUGGAAUAGGAGGACGAGGAGCGACGAAGAAUGAGCGGGGCAAGAGGACGGAUGGAGGAGGCGAGAGGAGGGCGCGCACACAGCCAAAAGGGGCGGGACGACGACUCCUCCCCGCCUCACGUUUCAGCAAGCUCUGGGCUUUAGCUAACAAAUGGUGUCAAUA
Non-coding RNA from Caenorhabditis elegans, 499 nucleotides. The record is from Ensembl. NCBI's taxonomy places the organism in Eukaryota, Metazoa, Nematoda, Chromadorea, Rhabditida, Rhabditidae.